RNAcentral lists this transfer RNA (76 nucleotides) under Actinomycetota bacterium. RNAcentral's name for it is "Actinobacteria bacterium tRNA-Glu". It matches the Rfam family "tRNA". From Rfam's summary of the family: Transfer RNA (tRNA) molecules are approximately 80 nucleotides in length. Their secondary structure includes four short double-helical elements and three loops (D, anti-codon, and T loops). Lineage: Bacteria; Bacillati; Actinomycetota. The record is from RNAcentral. RNAcentral also lists the same sequence under 1 other name.
GGCUCCGUCGUCUAGUGGCCUAGGACUCUGGCUUCUCAAGCCAGCUACGAGGGUUCGAAUCCCUUCGGAGCUACCA